RNAcentral lists this ribosomal RNA (120 nucleotides) under uncultured bacterium. RNAcentral's name for it is "partial 16S ribosomal RNA". It matches the Rfam family "Bacterial small subunit ribosomal RNA", at positions 30 to 147 of the family's 1533-position model. The record is from RNAcentral.
AUUGAACGCUGGCGGCAUGCUUUACACAUGCAAGUCGAACGGCAGCACGGGGGCAACCCUGGUGGCGAGUGGCGAACGGGUGAGUAAUGCAUCGGAACGUAUCUUCAAGUGGGGGAUAAC